RNAcentral lists this ribosomal RNA (253 nucleotides) under uncultured bacterium. Its description in RNAcentral is "partial 16S ribosomal RNA". It matches the Rfam family "Bacterial small subunit ribosomal RNA", at positions 524 to 776 of the family's 1533-position model. The record is from RNAcentral.
CACGUAGGAGACAAGCGUUAUCCGGAUUUACUGGGUGUAAAGCGCGUGCAGGCGGUUUGGAAAGUUGGAUGUGAAAGCUCCUGGCUUAACUGGGAGAGGUCGUACAAGACUACCAGACUAGAGGACAGCAGAGGGGAGUGGAAUUCCGAGUGUAGCGGUAAAAUGCAUAGAUAUUCGGAAGAACACCAGUGGCGAAGGCGGCUCCCUGGGCUGUAACUGACGCUCAGACGCGAAAGCUAGGGUAGCAAACGGG